Molecule: long non-coding RNA, 1148 nt
Filed under: Homo sapiens (human)
Lineage: Eukaryota; Metazoa; Chordata; Mammalia; Primates; Hominidae
Description: prostate cancer associated transcript 19
Source: RNAcentral
GUUAUUUGACUGGAGUGAGGUCUCAUGUCUGCUUAUGCGGUGGCUCGCUGCUCAGAACAGGGUCUGAUGGACAGGAAAUGGUAAGGUUUCUGAAAACCUAAGGAUCACACAGCGAGUUCCAAAGGCUGAAAGUGCAUACCUGUCGACACUGAUACCAAUGACAUCCAAUGGAGGAAGAGGGUAAUCUGGAAGAGUUUCCUGACCUACUCUGCUGCUGUGAUUAAACAACCACCAGGAAAUUUUGAUGACACUGUUCUCCUGAGCUCCUCCCUUUCCUCGGGGAAGAAAAGCAUUGAAACUACAAAAAUAAAGUGUUAUUUGGCUGGAGUGAGGUCUCAUGUCUGCUUAUGCGGUGGCUCGCUGCUCAGAACAGGAUGGAGUCUUGCUCUGCCGCCCAGACUGGAGUGCAAUGGCGCAAUCUCGGCUCACUGCAACAUUUGCCUCCCAGGAACCAUUGGAGAUACUCAUUACUCUUUGAAGGCUUACAGUGGAAUGAAUUCAAAUACGACUUAUUUGAGGAAUUGAAGUUGACUUUAUGGAGCUGAUAAGAAUCUUCUUGGAGAAAAAAAGACUGGAUCUUUCAUUGUAGUACUUCUGAAUUAACCAAAAUCACAGUAUUCUGAAGAUGAUUCUACAAAGCCUGCUGUUUCUACAAAGGCUGCUGAUGAUUUCUACAAAGCCUGCUGUAGUGUUGCUGUGGCCUCUGCUUAAAAAAGUAGAAAACACAUUGAUGCAGCAUGUUCACCCCAACCUCCCUGCCUAAAGGCUCAGGGACCAUCUUGGAAGAGGAAGGCGCGUGAGAUUGUAAGAGCCGAAUUAGGGGGAUGGAGUGUGGAGAAUAAGGACACUUCAUCUUGGAUGCUCACCUGCCAAAUUGACUUCUGAUGAAAGCCAGCUCCAGAAAUGUGCCUACAGUUACUACUUUCACCUAAACCCUGCCCUUAGUCAAAUCCUUCUCUUCUUCUAAGCAAUCAACUUCAAUUCCUUGUAUAACCCACAGUAUAAAAGGGCUUUUAUACCAUUCUAUCCUAUUGCAUGUAAGCCUUGGGUCUGGGAGGUAACAGUGUGGGAUUCCACCAUCUCAUCUCCCUGCCACCCAAACAUGCCUGCUCUUCUUUAAGCAAUAUUAAAUGUUUGUACUUCAGAAA